CCUACGGGUGGCAGCAGUGGGGAAUAUUGCGCAAUGGGCGCAAGCCUGACGCAGCGACGCCGCGUGAGGGAUGAAGGUCUUCGGAUCGGAAACCUCCGUCAGCAGGGAAGUACGGUCACUGUGCUAAUCAGCAGUGAAUUGACGGUACCUGCAAAGGAAGCACCGGCUAACGCCGUGCCAGCAGCCGCGGUAAUACGGAGGGUGCGAGCGUUAAUCGGAAUUACUGGGCGUAAAGCGCUCGUAGGCGGUAUGUCAAGUCAAGGGUGAAAUCCCCGCGCGCAACGUGGGAACUGCCUUUGAAACUGGCAAACUGGAGUGUGUGAGAGGAUAGUGGAAUUCCAGGUGUAGGAGUGAAAUGCGUAGAUAUCUGGAGGAACAUCAGUGGCGAAGGCGACUAUCUGGCACAUAACUGACGCUGAGGAGCGAAAGCGUGGGUAGCAAACAGGAUUAGAUACCCCGGUAGUC
Molecule: ribosomal RNA, 465 nt
Filed under: uncultured bacterium
Lineage: Bacteria
Description: partial 16S ribosomal RNA
Rfam family: Bacterial small subunit ribosomal RNA
Source: RNAcentral